CAUUAACCGCCCCUUGCAUUUUUCACCUGAUUUGGAGAGAGCACCCACAAGAUCACCUAGACGAAGAAGAGGAGAAGGAACAGAAAGAUUUGAACUUUCGGCUAAGGAUGAAAAAAGCCAAACCAACCCUAGACCAGAAAUCAGUGAUAGUUAAAUCAUGUGCAUAUAUAUAUAUAUAGGGAAAAGACAGGCAACUCAUCAUCAACUACUGAGACCAGCACUAGUACCAGCCUGGCGCACAGAUAACUUUUCCUUUUUUGCUUUGAGCGCACAGUUCAUUUGCAUCUUCUUCUCAUCUUUCUCUGCAGAGGCAAAAUAUUUAACAAUAUAAUUGCACAGAGAAGGAGGAAAGGAAAACAAGAUGGCACUUGCUAAAGAAAUUAUGGGUAGUUCUUUGAUUGAUAAAUCAUCAUAUGUAUCAAGGUCGUCUAAAGUGCUCUUUAACCAUAGUUUUCGUCAAAAGAAUCAGUUCUUGGCGAAACCAGUUUUGAUGCCUUUGCAACACAGAAAGGUUAACUUAAAAAGAGCAGCUGUGAGGGGUCCUGUUGCAGCUAUUAGUGAAGAUUUGAUCAAAGCCAAUAGUAAAACAGAUACUGUGCCCGAAAAGCCAGUGACGUUCAAGGUGAGAGCUGUUGUCACCGUGAGAAACAAGCACAAGGAGGAUUUGAAGGACACCAUUGCCAAGCACUGGGAUGCUUUCGCUGACAAGAUUGGGAGAAAUGUUGUUUUGGAGCUCAUUAGUUCUGAAGUUGAUCCAAAAACCAAGGCACCGAAGAAAAGCAAGGCAGCUGUGUUGAAGGACUGGUCCAAGAAAUCAAAUGUCAAAGCUGAGAGGGUCCAUUAUACAGCUGAAUUUCUAGUGGAUUCCAAUUUUGGGGUGCCUGGAGCAAUUACAGUGAGCAACAAGCACCAGAAGGAGUUUUUCUUGGAGACGAUCACCCUUGAAGGAUUUGCUUGCGGUCCAGUGCAUUUCCCUUGCAACUCCUGGGUACAAUCCAAGAAAGAUCAUCCUGCAAAUAGGAUAUUUUUCUCUAAUGAGCCAUAUUUGCCAACUGAGACACCUGCUGGACUAAGAGUGUUAAGAGAAACAGAACUAAGAGAUAUCAGAGGUGAUGGCCAAGGAGAGAGAAAGUUAUCAGACAGGAUUUAUGACUUUGAUGUCUACAAUGAUUUGGGAAAUCCUGACAAGGGUAUUGAGUUUGCUAGGCCAAAACUUGGAGGUGAAAACAUGCCAUAUCCAAGACGGUGUCGCACCGGCCGUUGCCCAACUGAUACAAAUAUAAAUGCAGAAAGUCGUGUGGAGAAGCCCUCGCCAAUUUAUGUGCCUAGAGAUGAACAAUUUGAGGAGUCUAAGCAAAAGACAUUCUCAGCUGGGAGGCUUAAGGCAGUGCUUCAUACUCUGAUACCAUCCUUAAAGGCCACCAUUUCUGCUGAGAACCAUGACUUCAACGCAUUUUCGGACAUUGAUAUCCUCUACAAGGAGGGUUUGCUUCUUAAAGUAGGGCUUCAAGAUGAAAUCUGGAGAAGUCUACCAUUGCCAAAGGCAGUUACCAGGAUUCAGGAAUCUAGUGAGGGACUUCUCAGAUAUGACACACCCAAGGUUAUUUCUAAGGACAAGUUUGCCUGGUUGCGAGAUGACGAAUUUGCCCGUCAAGCAAUCUCAGGUGUUAACCCUGUCAACAUUGAGAGGCUGAAGGCUUUUCCACCAAAAAGCAAUCUUGAUCCUGAAAUCUACGGUCCACAGGAGUCUGCUCUUAAAGAAGAGCACAUUAUAGGACAUCUGAAUGGCAUGUCUGUUAAAGAGGCCUUGGAGGAAAAUAAACUGUUUAUAGUGGAUUAUCAUGAUAUUUAUCUCCCAUUUUUGGACCGCAUUAAUGCCCUUGACAGUAGAAAAGCAUAUGCAACUCGAACCAUAUUUUUCUUGACCCCCCUUGGGACACUCAAGCCCAUUGCUAUAGAGCUUAGUCUCCCACAUGUCGGACCAAGUUCCCAAUCAAAGCGAGUAGUUACACCUCCUGUAGACGCAACUACAAACUGGAUAUGGCAACUUGCCAAGGCUCACGUUUGCUCCAAUGAUGCUGGGGUUCAUCAACUAGUUAAUCACUGGCUACGUACACAUGCCAGCAUGGAGCCAUUUAUACUAGCAGCACAUAGGCAAUUGAGUGCAAUGCACCCCAUAUUUAAGCUUUUAGAUCCACACAUGAGAUACACCCUAGAGAUCAAUGCCUUAGCCCGCCAAAGUUUAAUCAAUGCUGAUGGUGUUAUUGAAUCCUGCUUCACUCCUGGCCGCUACUGCAUGGAUAUUAGCGCUGCUGCAUAUAAGAACUUUUGGCGAUUCGACAUGGAAGGCCUUCCUGCUGAUCUCAUUCGCAGGGGUAUGGCUGUACCUGACCCAACCCAACCACAUGGCCUGAAGCUUCUAAUUGAGGACUAUCCAUAUGCACAAGAUGGGCUUCUAAUCUGGUUUGCAAUAGAGAACUGGGUUCGCAGCUAUGUGAACCGGUAUUACCCUAAUUCAAGCCUAAUUUGUAACGAUAAAGAGCUACAAGCUUGGUAUGCUGAGUCUGUCAAUGUGGGCCAUGCUGAUCUCAAACAUGCAGAAUGGUGGCCCACAUUAAACAAUGUUGAUAAUCUUGUUUCAAUCCUCACCACCAUCAUUUGGCUUGCAUCUGCUCAACAUGCUGCCCUUAAUUUUGGGCAGUAUCCUUAUGGGGGCUAUGUGCCUAAUAGACCGCCCUUAAUGAGAAGAUUAAUCCCAGAAGAAAAUGACACAGAAUAUGCAAGUCUCGUAGCUGAUCCACAAAAAUAUUUCCUGUCAGCAUUGCCGAGUCUGUUACAAGCAACAAAAUUUAUGGCUGUGGUAGACACCUUAUCGACACACUCACCGGAUGAGGAAUACCUAGGUGAACGACAACAGCCAUCGAUUUGGUCUGGUGAUGCUGAAAUAAUCGAGUCAUUUUAUGAGUUCUCCGCAGAGAUGAGACGGAUAGAGAAGGAGAUCGAUAGAAAAAACAUAGAUCCUAACUUUAGAAAUCGGUGUGGAGCAGGAGUAUUGCCAUAUGAAUUACUAGCACCAAGCUCAUCACCAGGGGUAACAUGUAGAGGCGUACCAAAUAGUGUGUCGAUAUGAGUAAAAAAUGUGACCAUAAUAAUAGUUCAAUAUGCCUUUGAGUUGUUUCAAGAUUUUAAAUUCCAGACACAAGACCAUUCUUAUAUAAAAUGUAUUUAUAUAUUUUGCAAGUGUAGGGUGCACUUAGUGGAACUUUUAACAUAGGAUUGUAUAUGCAAUAGAGUGCAAUAAGCAAAUCUAUGUGUCAUAAUCUUGUGCUAAUAUGAAAGAGUGAGAAUUUUUAAUCUUUUU
This 3361-nucleotide unclassified non-coding RNA is filed under the name Hevea brasiliensis (rubber tree). Lineage: Eukaryota; Viridiplantae; Streptophyta; Magnoliopsida; Malpighiales; Euphorbiaceae. The record is from RNAcentral.